Molecule: RNA transcript, 833 nt
Organism: Mus caroli (Ryukyu mouse)
Lineage: Eukaryota; Metazoa; Chordata; Mammalia; Rodentia; Muridae
Gene: Trappc6a
Gene name: trafficking protein particle complex subunit 6A
Source: RefSeq, a predicted model, not a curated record
CGAGCUGACCAAUGGGAGCCGGAAGCGUUGGCCAGGUGUGAGGGUCGCGAGGCGGCGUAUGGCGGACGCGGUGCUAUUCGAGUUUCUGCACACCGAGAUGGUGGCGGAGCUGUGGGCCCCGGACCCGGACCCUGGCUCGGGGGGAAAGAGGAAGAGCCUGUCCGUCCUGGAGGGCCUGGGCUUCCGCGUGGGCCAGGCUCUGGGUGAGAGGCUGCCCCGGGAGACACCGGCCUUUAGGGAGGAGUUAGAUGCCCUCAAGUUCCUGUGCAGAGAUCUGUGGGCGGCCACAUUCCAGAAGCACGCCGAUGGACUCCGCACCAACCACCAGGGGACCUAUGUGCUGCAGGACAACAGCUUCCCCCUCCUCGUCACCAUGGGCUCGGGGCCACAGUAUCUAGAGGAAGCCCCCAAGUUCCUGGCCUUCACCUGCGGCCUUCUUUGCGGCGCCCUCCAUACAUUGGGCUUCCAGAGCCUGGUCACCGCCUCCGUGGCAUCCCUGCCCGCCUGGUACUGCUAGGCUUAGAUGACUCCUCCUGCCACUGUGAAGAGCUGGACUCAAUGGGCAAGACAUGUAAGUUCCAGGUGGUGAUCCAGAAGUCCUGAGGACCCCAGACGCCAGGCUUGCCCUCCCUAAGCUUAGCCUCGGAAUGUGGCACCUGACCCUGCCUCACUGCUCACCUUUGCAGGUCGCAUGUGCUUCAGACAAGGGAAUGAAAGUGCCGGGAGGGUCCUGGGAGGUGGGGCCAUCCCUGAGUUCCAAGUCAGCAUGGAGGGACAUUAGGGCAUCACCCAGAUGACAUAUGUUCAGUAAAGGUUCUUUAUGUGCAAACAGA